GCGUUUAUGCUGCAGCCAAGAAAGCCUUGUGAGAACUGGGCGGAAAAAAUUGUAGCCAUGGGUGCAGACGGUGCAGCUGUCAAUCUGGGACACAGAGGUGGAGUGAUAGCCCUCCUUCAAGCAGAGAUUGGGUCCUUCAUUGUCUCAUUCCACUGCAUGCCACACAGGUCAAAGUCAGCAUGGAGGAUGGGACAUGUGGCAUUUUGCCACUUCCUGUCAGACCUUUUCUCUUCCAUCAGCAACUUCAGCCUGCAGCUUCAGAGAAACAAUGUAAUCCUACCUCAGGCUGUUAGUGGCAUCGAAUCUCUCUUGGCUACCAUAGAAGCUAUGGCAGCUAGCCCCAAACCUGAUGGUAAGCUGUCUGAGUUCCUUGCAGCCAUGAAGAAGCAGCGCCAACAGAGAGGAGGAGAACCUGGGGCUGGGACGUUCAAGUAUCAGGAAGUCACGCUUUCUAAAGGUGAAGCUGCAGAGCGUGCAGAAGGUCAACCAAUCAGCCAGUGUGCUCCCAGACUGCAAAGAGCCAUUGUGCUGACCUAAGAGAACACAAAGGAUGCACCAACAGCCAAGGCAGUGAAGUGUUUCAAUGUCUUCAGCCAUGACUCUUGGCCAGAUAAUAGGCUGGAGCUCCUGAACCAUGGUGUGGAAGAGGUGAACUCUCUCCUACAACACUUCUCCACUGUCCUGGACAGGAAUGGCUGCAGCAAAGAAAAGGCCAAAGAGGAGUUCCAACUGAUGAAAAUGACGAUAAACACGUCAUUCAAGGACAAAAGCUAUCUUGGACUGUGGCAAGUCAUGACGACAAAAGAGCCCUACUGCUCAGACUUUGCGGUAGGCUCUGUUAUCUGUAGUAUCAAAAAUGACAUGAUCAUUGUCACUGUUGACUUGGUGAUUUGGAAAGUUGGUUUGAUCACCACACUUCGUCUUUUGCAGAAUAUCCUACGCCUGGUCCAAAUCAUGCUGGUGCUCCCAAUCUCUUCAGCAGUCUGUGAAAGAGGCUUCUCGUCAGUAAACAGAAUCAAGUCAGAUGCUAGAUCAGUUCAGUUUGAAUUAAUGAGCUUUAAGUUUAUAAGUUAUUUAUUAUGUCGUUUUUAAGUUACCAGUAAGUUCGAUGUUCAGAAUGUUAUGUUCAAUAUACGUUUAAUACAAUGUAACAGUAUUUUUGUACUGUGGCUCAUGCAGAGAAACUUGAAUUCAGAUUAAAAUAUUUUGCAAAUAUCAAGUUUUGGUCAUUGUCAAUCUUUAACUUUCAUCAACAUAACAUAUUAAUAACACGCUAUACAAAGAAAAAUAUGGUGCUACCUAAUUUGUUUUGGUGCUACUAAAUGAAAAGCUAGGUGGCACCAGUGUUACCAGUGAAAAAGUUAGUCUGGAGCCCUGCAACAGCAACAGUUGCACUGUUUUUCUAAAUGCAUCAGCCGUACUCUCGGUUAAUCUAAAUGCA
This is a long non-coding RNA of Gadus morhua (Atlantic cod), 1441 nucleotides long. NCBI's taxonomy places the organism in Eukaryota, Metazoa, Chordata, Actinopteri, Gadiformes, Gadidae. The record is from Ensembl.